GGCCUGACCGGGCGGCCCGCCUUCUGGUGAGUACUGUCUUCGCGUCGGGUCUCUUCUUCUGGUGAGCUAGUGUGUCCUUCAAUGGGCGCGUUAGGGAACCAGGACUGUUACCUUGAGAAAAUUAGAGUGUUCAAAGCAGGCGUGACGCCCGAAUACGUUAGCAUGGAAUAACGAAAUAGGACGCGCGGUUCUAUUUUGUUGGUUUCUAGAGUCGCCGUA
RNAcentral lists this ribosomal RNA (219 nucleotides) under uncultured fungus. Its description in RNAcentral is "partial small subunit ribosomal RNA". The stretch from base 91 to 219 matches the Rfam family "Eukaryotic small subunit ribosomal RNA", at positions 735 to 864 of the family's 1831-position model. Lineage: Eukaryota; Fungi. The record is from RNAcentral.